Molecule: transfer RNA, 76 nt
Filed under: Chloroflexota bacterium
Lineage: Bacteria; Bacillati; Chloroflexota
Also listed under: 1 other name
Description: Chloroflexi bacterium (anaerobic digester metagenome) tRNA-Arg
Rfam family: tRNA
About the family: Transfer RNA (tRNA) molecules are approximately 80 nucleotides in length. Their secondary structure includes four short double-helical elements and three loops (D, anti-codon, and T loops). Further hydrogen bonds mediate the characteristic L-shaped molecular structure. tRNAs have two regions of fundamental functional importance: the anti-codon, which is responsible for specific mRNA codon recognition, and the 3' end, to which the tRNAs corresponding amino acid is attached (by aminoacyl-tRNA synthetases). tRNAs cope with the degeneracy of the genetic code in two manners: having more than one tRNA (with a specific anti-codon) for a particular amino acid; and 'wobble' base-pairing, i.e. permitting non-standard base-pairing at the 3rd anti-codon position.
Source: RNAcentral
GCCCCAGUAGCUCAGAGGAUAGAGCAGAGGUUUCCUAAACCUUUGGCCGGGGGUUCGACUCCCUCCUGGGGCGCCA